Molecule: ribosomal RNA, 253 nt
Filed under: uncultured bacterium
Lineage: Bacteria
Description: partial 16S ribosomal RNA
Rfam family: Bacterial small subunit ribosomal RNA
Source: RNAcentral
UACGUAGGGGACGAGCGUUGUCCGGAAUUAUUGGGCGUAAAGAGCGUGUAGGCGGCUCUGCAAGUCCUGCGUGAAAUCUCGAGGCUCAACCUCGAGCGGUCGUGGGAAACUGGAGGGCUAGAGUGCGGGAGAGGGAAGUGGAAUUCCAGGUGUAGCGGUGAAAUGCGCAGAUAUCUGGAGGAACACCGGUGGCGAAGGCGGCAUCCUGGGCCGGUAUUGACGCUGAGGAGCGAAAGCCAGGGGAGCAAACGGG